This 253-nucleotide ribosomal RNA is filed under the name uncultured bacterium. Its description in RNAcentral is "partial 16S ribosomal RNA". It matches the Rfam family "Bacterial small subunit ribosomal RNA", at positions 524 to 776 of the family's 1533-position model. The record is from RNAcentral.
UACGUAGGGUGCAAGCGUUGUCCGGAAUUAUUGGGCGUAAAGAGCUCGUAGGCGGUCUGUCGCGUCGGCUGUGAAAGGCCUGGGCUCAACCCAGGAAAUGCGCCUGAGACUGACGGACUUGAGUCCGGGAGAGGAUGGUGGAACUCCCAGUGUAGAGGUGAAAUUCGUAGAUAUUGGGAAGAACACCCGUGGCGAAGGCGGCCAUCUGGACCGGUACUGACGCUAAGGCGCGACAGCGUGGGGAGCAAACAGG